Molecule: long non-coding RNA, 476 nt
Organism: Zalophus californianus (California sea lion)
Lineage: Eukaryota; Metazoa; Chordata; Mammalia; Carnivora; Otariidae
Exons: 3
Source: RefSeq, a predicted model, not a curated record
GACAUUUCUCCUUUUUUUUUUUCUCAUCCUGUUUGCUUUCUUAGAAGAUGAUGUAGGUCUUCUCCUCCUGUUUCUCAAAGAUUCCUGUUCGCAGCCGUAUACUCUGCACCCAGUUACCUAAGAGCUGGCCCCCUUUUUGUGGAAAACAAGAAAUCUCUGUUUGUGUUUAUGAGAAGAUUGUCAGCUUCACUCCAGCUGAAGGUAGAAAGAAUGUCAUCCUCUUCUCAGCCGAGCGGAGCCCACAGAAUUUGCUGAAGGCAUGGAGAGGAAUAUGGCUGAAUAACCCAAUUACCCAGAGCGGAGCUGAAGAGACAUAAUCAGGCCUGUCCUGAUAAAACUGUUGACAGCUUCCAUUCCUAACUCUUGGGAAAGUGGCUCGAGGAAGACAUCAUGGAAAGAAUAAGCCAGAGGCGCCUGGGUGGCUCAGUUGUUAAGCGUCUGCCUUCGGCUCAGGUCAUGAUCCCAGGGUCCUGGGA